AGUGAACGCUGGCGGUAGGCCUAACACAUGCAAGUCGAACGGCAGCACAGUAAGAGCUUGCUCUUACGGGUGGCGAGUGGCGGACGGGUGAGGAAUACAUCGGAAUCUACUUUUUCGUGGGGGAUAACGUAGGGAAACUUACGCUAAUACCGCAUACGACCUACGGGUGAAAGCAGGGGAUCUUCGGACCUUGCGCGAUUGAAUGAGCCGAUGUCGGAUUAGCUAGUUGGCGGGGUAAAGGCCCACCAAGGCGACGAUCCGUAGCUGGUCUGAGAGGAUGAUCAGCCACACUGGAACUGAGACACGGUCCAGGCUCCUACGGGGGGCAGCAGUGGGGAAUAUUGGACAAUGGGCGCAAGCCUGAUCCAGCCAUACCGCGUGGGUGAAGAAGGCCUUCGGGUUGUAAAGCCCUUUUGUUGGGAAAGAAAAGCAGCAGGUUAAUACCCCGCUGUUCUGACGGUACCCAAAGAAUAAGCACCGGCUAACUUCGUG
This 492-nucleotide ribosomal RNA is filed under the name uncultured bacterium. Its description in RNAcentral is "partial 16S ribosomal RNA". It matches the Rfam family "Bacterial small subunit ribosomal RNA", at positions 29 to 507 of the family's 1533-position model. The record is from RNAcentral.